CAACCAUAGGCAAAACUGAAAUGGAACAGGGGCAGAAAAUAGCACACUUUUACUCUACGCAACUGUUGCUUUUUCAUGAGUCUUGCUCUGUUGCCAAGGCUGGAGUGCAGUGGCGGGAUCUCGGCUCACUGCAACCUCCGCCUCCCGGGUUCAAGCGAUUCUUCUGCUUCAGCCUGCUAAGUAGCUGGGACUACAGGCACCCACCACCAUGCCCGGAUCUUCAGGAAUUUUACUGGGAUAAUUGUCCAAAUAAAUUGCAAGCAU
Molecule: long non-coding RNA, 264 nt
Organism: Gorilla gorilla gorilla (western lowland gorilla)
Lineage: Eukaryota; Metazoa; Chordata; Mammalia; Primates; Hominidae
Exons: 3
Source: RefSeq, a predicted model, not a curated record